GAUGAACGCUAGCGGCAGGCUUAAUACAUGCAAGUCGAGGGGCAGCAUGAGUGUAGCAAUACAUUUGAUGGCGACCGGCAAACGGGUGCGGAACACGUACAGAACCUUCCUUCGAGCGGGGAAUAGCCCAGAGAAAUUUGGAUUAAUACCCCAUAGUAAAUUGAAAAGGCAUCUUUUUAAUUUUAAAGAUUUAUCACUUGAAGAUGGCUGUGCGGCUGAUUAGGUAGUUGGCGGGGUAACGGCCCACCAAGCCUACGAUCAGUAACUGGUGUGAGAGCACGACCAGUCACACGGGCACUGAGACACGGGCCCGACUCCUACGGGAGGCAGCAGUAAGGAAUAUUGGUCAAUGGACGAAAGUCUGAACCAGCCAUGCCGCGUGGAGGAUGAAGGUCCUCUGGAUUGUAAACUUCUUUUAUCUGGGACGAAAAAGGGGCUUUCUAGCUCAACUGACGGUACCAGAUGAAUAAGCACCGGCUAACUCCGUGCCAGCCGCCGCCGUAA
Molecule: ribosomal RNA, 504 nt
Filed under: uncultured bacterium
Lineage: Bacteria
Description: partial 16S ribosomal RNA
Rfam family: Bacterial small subunit ribosomal RNA
Source: RNAcentral